UUAAUCUCGGCCAUAUCUCCUUGACUCCUUUAUCCUGGAACUCUCUCCUAUAUUUUACGAUCCUCCAAUUUCAUCAGCCUCCCCUCCACAAUCAAUUGACCGGAGAUCUUCACCAUCACAACCACUCACGCCAUCUCCAACCUCUGUCAACCACCACCGCCUGAAAACCAAUUCACCAAGAAGCACCAACCACCAAACGGUCUCCCACAUACCCUAAACAUCACCGUCAGCCAACAACAACCACCACCACCAUCGAGCUUCCACUGCCAUCAACGAAAACUUCUAGCUGAAAGUAGAAUAAUACAAUGCAUAUGCUUCCGUAUCUCUCGAGGUUCUUUUGAUGCAACCCUUUGAUCCGUGCUAAGUUGCCUUUAAGUCGUAGAUCCCGACAAAAAUCUUUAGGUUCUGGUUCAUCUUCCUUUAUAUCAGGCUCUUCAUCUCCUUUGCUGAAAUCAUUCCUUGUGUUCCUCCAUCAAUUGAAAAACUCUAAGACCACUCACCACCAUCAUUCAACCCUGCAACGCCACCACUGAACCACUAACACAGCUCUCUCCCUCUCCGUCUCUCUCUAAAAAAAUGCCUAAACACUAAUCUCGCUCUCUCUGCACAAUCUUUCACGGCGUUCCUCCAUCUCUCUAUCGGGUUCUCUCAUCAUUUAACAUUAAUUUCAAUUUUAGAAGCUCCAACCUCAUGUAUAAUUUAUGGCAAUCGCUCCACCUACUACUUCUAAAAUGUACAUGGCGGUCCUAACCUUCUCAGGCUCUUCUUCUCUCUCUGAAAACCCUAGACCCCCACCACUCUCUGUAUAGAACCGUCAUACCCACACAAUUUCUUGGUAAUAGAUCCAGGGAGAUAAAGUCAUCUAAAAAUGCCGAUGCUUUUCUCUUUCAACACAACGAUGACCGCUGAUUUAGGGCUUAUUUGAGAAAGGUCCUGUACGGUUCAUGGGAUGCUUGUAAGAAUCCUCUUUCUUGAAACUCUUUCUCUUUGUUUCUAUUUCUCUCUAUCAUGAAUAAAUAGCGAUUUAUGUGAUUGUACUUGUGUAUAGAUAUUUACACCGAUGAUCAUUUUAAUGGAUACAAAACAGGGGCUCAUGUGAACAUUUAAAACUCUGUGAGAUUUACAAUUGACAGUGUAACGAUUAUUUAUAUUUUGCUACAAUUUAUGGAUUUAAUCUUGUAUGUAUGCUCUGUAUGCAUACAUACAAGAUUACUAACUUUGAAUUUAUAUCUUUUUGACUGAUCUCUUUGAGUAAUGUUUGGUAUGGUGUAGUUCUUUCAUGUGGUGCUAUUUAUUAUAUUUGGUGUAUGUUUUAGCCGGAUGGGUUUGGGGUAUCUCUUGGGCUUUAUACAAUAAAGUUCACAUUUAUUCCAAUAAUAAGAUUUUUUUUUUGUUUUCCGGCUCCUAGAGACAAUUAGGUUAUUUGUUGAUUUUUAUUUAUAUUAUACAGUUCACAUUUAUUCCAAUAAUAAGAAUUUUUUUUUUUUUUUAGCUCCUGGAGACAAUUAUAUUAUUUGUUGAUUUUUUUGGUAUUAUGUGAAAGGAGAGGAGAAAUAUGGUGUGGUGUGGUGUUGACUAAAGAAUUGUGGUUGUGGCUUCAACCAACAGGUUGAAGUGACAAACGGUUGUCCUAAGAAACAAACAUAAACAUGACCGACAAGAACAUGACUGGGGAACGAAUAGUAAUUAUCAAACUAAUGGGGUUAUUUGUAAGAAAAUCUUAAAGAUUAUGAAGAUUUUUAUACUACUACUAUAAUUUGAAUACGA
Lactuca sativa (garden lettuce) is the source of this 1767-nucleotide long non-coding RNA. RefSeq lists it as uncharacterized. Lineage: Eukaryota; Viridiplantae; Streptophyta; Magnoliopsida; Asterales; Asteraceae. The record is from RefSeq and is a predicted model, not a curated record.